ACUCCACCUCUCCUCUCCACCAGAGGGCGCCAUGCUCCAGUAGGCGGCGCUCUCCUUGUGCUCUGUGCUCCAGCAUUGUGUCAAUAAGAAGUGGUGCUGUGAAGAGAACAAUAGUCAGACUGAAUGUUGAACAUCAGCUGCUUUCUCCUGCUGAUUUAAACCUUGUUGGACAGAUGGAACAUUGGCUGUGGAUUAUUCUGGCUGCUCUUUUCUCUGAGUGUAAAGGAGACUCAGUGAAGCAGACAGGAGGAGAAGUUGCUGCUGCAGCAGGAGAAUCACUGACUCUGGGAUGUACCUUUGAGACCAGUGAUACAUAUCCAUAUCUGUUCUGGUACAGACAAGAAGGAAACAGUUUACCAAAGUACAUGCUGAAGCAGCGAUUAUCAGCCAAAGAGAAAGCUCCAGAGUUCAACAGCAGCAGAUUUGAUGCAGACCUCAAUAAAACCAACAAGACAUUCAACCUGACGAUCCAGGAUCUCCGUCUGACAGACUCUGCUGUGUACUACUGCGCUCUG
This is a non-coding RNA of Poeciliopsis prolifica (blackstripe livebearer), 515 nucleotides long. The record is from the annotation of a RefSeq genome assembly. Lineage: Eukaryota; Metazoa; Chordata; Actinopteri; Cyprinodontiformes; Poeciliidae.